This is an RNA transcript of Lemur catta (Ring-tailed lemur), 935 nucleotides long. It is a transcript of the gene named zinc finger SWIM-type containing 7, with no coding region annotated. The record is from RefSeq and is a predicted model, not a curated record. The transcript is spliced from 7 exons. Lineage: Eukaryota; Metazoa; Chordata; Mammalia; Primates; Lemuridae.
GCGGCCGCGCUCAUCCGUCGGUAGACGCGGGCUGCGGAGGCGCUGCGGCCGUUGCGUCCGCUCGGGUGGGCACACCCUGAGGCGCCAUGGCCGUCGCGCUACCCGCGGUCGUGGAGGAGCUCCUGAGCGAGAUGGCCGCUGCGGUGCAGGAGAGCGCGCGAAUUCCUGAUGAGCAUUUAUUAUCGCUGAAGUUUGUCUUUGGCUCAUCAGCCAUCCAGGCCUUGGACCUAGUUGAUCGACAGUCCAUCACCUUAAUCUCAUCACCUAGUGGAAGGCGUGUUUACCAGGUACUUGGAAGUUCCGGUAAAACAUACAUAUGUUUGGCUUCUUGUCAUUACUGUUCAUGUCCUGCAUUUGCUUUCUCAGUGCUACGGAAGGGUGAAAGCCUACUGUGCAAGCAUCUCUUGGCAGUUUAUCUUAGUCAGGUUAUGAGGACCUGUCAGCAGCUAUGUGUCUCUGACAAGCAAUUGACUGACAUAUUUUUGAUGGAGAAGAGACAAGAAACAUAAAAGCUGUGCUUCUGUCCUCACCGUGAAUGCCUGUCUCCCUCCCUGGCACCAACCCUUGCUGCAGACUCCACGCCUCUCCCUGUGCACUACUGGCUCUGAGGACAUCCUCAAGUCUGCAUGGCCCAGAAAAAAUGAUACUCCAGCAGCCAUGAGCAAACCUACGUAAAUCUUGGUUUCUACAUACCAUUCUCCACUAAAAGGAACAAGGGCCUUUUGGAAAAUGUCUAGUUCUAAAGCUGGAAAGUACAAUGCAAGCCUGAAAGACCUUUUUGUGCCAGAAUGUAAGGAAGUACUCAAAAACUGAUGGGAACGCUCAAGCAGAAGAGAACUUUGUAGGGACUUUCCUUGACCGAGUUCGGGCAUCAAAAUGAAUGACAGGAAUGGAUUAUAACUCACUGAUUGAAAAUAAAAUUCCAUAAGUCCAUA